AUCUCGAUUGUGUUAGCUUGAUUGAGGGAAAUUUUAUGAAAAGAAAAGAGCCCAAGUGACAUAGUUAUCCUUACAAGUUUAUCAAAUCUUGUUAAGUCAAAUUUCAAUUUAAAUUCACAUGGUUUCUCCCUUAUUUUUCAUAAAAUUCAUUAACCUCUUUUUUUUUUUUUUGAAAAGUGUCUCAAAUUCUAAUUUGAGUCGAUUGGAAAGUCACUGAUAGUUUGUCAUUGAUAGUUUUCGAAUGGGAUAUAUUCUUGUAAAUAAAUUUUCUAGUAUCAUAAAGAAAAUUUCCUAUUGUGAGAUUUUUUUUAAGAAAUAAGUAUCUUUUGAUAAUCACAUAAUUAGUUUCCUACAAGGAAUCUUAUCGUGUAAUUAGAAAAAUAUAUAAGAAGAUAUUUUGAUUAAAAAGUAUGAGUCUCUUUUUUGGUUUAGUUGAGAUUUUGAGAUUUGAGGGCUUUAGGGUUGUAAUCUUCUUCAAUAAUAAUAGAAAUUCUUCUUCUUCACCCAUGGAUGUAAGCUUUAGGUUAAACCAAGCUUUAGGUCAAACCACAUAAAUCAUAACAUGUUUUGUGUGUUUUCUGUUUUCAUAUUCUUAUUUUCUUUUCCCUCUUAUCUAAACUUCUCAAUUUCCCCAUUAUAUGUGAGAUCUCCCUAUCUUUCAACACCUAACUUACGAGGAUUUUAAAACUAAAAAAUUGACUCCAUAUACUUGGGGAAUUGCAGUUUUGCAUAUAUAUUUGGGAGCGAUCAAUAGGUUAAAGAGAAGUUCAGGGGUUAGGUUACCUAGUAAGAAGGUAUUAGGUGCCCACUAAGCCCAACAUGAGAAAAUGGAGGCAACUUUAAUAAGUGAUUGAUUUGAUAAAAAAAAUACAAAGUCAAAUUAAAAUAAUAAAAUUAGUUUUCUCUAGCUAUUUGUGACUUUUGACAUGGUGGUGGAAGAAAGAAAUGCAUACAAAUAUGAAUAAUCACAUGGAUAAUCAAGUAAGAGGUUGUGGACAAGGAAUAUGAUGAGAUAUUUGCUCUCAUUGCUUAUUUAGAAAGUAUAAGAUUAAUCAUCUCUUUGGCUACUAAAAAUAACUGGAAGAUUUUUCAAAUUAAUGUGAAAUAUGUCUUUUUAAAUGGACAUCUUGAAGAAAAAGUGUAUAUGGAACAACCCAUGGAUUCUGUGUUAAGAUAAAACCCUUAAAAUAUGACAUUAUGUAAUAAAAUUUUGGAUUUUAUUUGUUUAAUAAAGUUUCGAUUCACUUUUAUCUAUCAUAUUUCCAUGCAUCAUAUCUUGUAAACACUUUAAUCUGCAUCUUUUGCAUUGUACAUGAUUUUGGUGCAUUAGAAGUUACAUGAAAAAUCUAAGUCAUGAGUUCUUUGCAAAUAGAUGAUUGUUCACAAUCGGUUCAUGGGUCUAGGCAACCCAUUAGAGGUUGUAGUGCACCACCUCCUAAUUGGAUGGAUGGUUGGUCUUGGCUAUCAUGAUAGAUUUCUCAUGGUGAGUGCACUAGUAUGUAUGAUUACACAUUGGAUACAACCUAUGAUGAGUCAUGACUUAACGUUAUCAAGUAUUCAUGACCUUACCAAAUUGUUUCAUUGUGUUGUUUCUUAAUUUUGACAAAAUAAGUUUGUGCUGAAAUUAACAGUGGCUUUGACCUAUGGGUGAGAUUAUAAGUUGAUUAUAUAUUAUUUAUAGAUUGAGUCAUUGUUAAUGAAAGUUAAUAGCAAUAGGUAUUCUCAAUAGAGACACCAUGAUAUCUUUUAGGAUUGAGACAGUGUGUUUCCUUAGAAGAUCCUAAGGAAAUGUGUCAUGGAAACUAUGACUAUAGUAGUUCCUUAAGUAGAACUUGACAUAUGCUCUUGAAGAGCUAAAACAUGUCAAUUGAAUACAUAAUAAAAGGACUUGUAACUCAAGGAUAGUAGAGAUAGUCUUGAAAAACAAAUAGUAUUCACCUUAAUUAUUAGACUACGGACACCGGUUCAUGGGGAGAUUGAAUGCAAUAGAUAAUAGGUCACAGACCUGAGCAUUUGGCAUCUCGUUGUUAUUUACAGAGGAUACUAAAAUUUAGUUGAUUCUUUAUAGUGGAAUGUUAAAUCAACUUUAUAAUUGGCUUUUGAAAGAGUCAGUACUCUUAUAAGUCCUAUUGCUCCUCGUUUUGAGCUCAUAUACCUUGUUGGUAUGGGUUAUGAGGGUUGGAUCAACUUUAGGUUCACAUUUUUGCAUAAGGGUGUUUUGGUAAUUACACAAGGUUGCACAAGGGGAAGUAAGUAAGGUUUCUGGAUUGAGUUAAAUGAGUAAUUAUAAUUAAUAACCCUUGUUGGGUUAAUUAAUCAAUUAGGACCCAUUUUGGGCUAAAUUAAGUGACCCAAGCUCUUAGUGGACUCAAGUCACUUAAACCUAUUGGGGAACCCUAAAUACCUCCUUAAGGGUUAGGGUUUCCAUAACUUCUUCUAGAGAGUCAUUUUCCACUUCUAAAGAGAGAGAACAAUAGCUUUCACCAUCUCUUUCAUUUCCAUCGGAAGUGUGUCAAGAUCAAGGUUCAAGUUAUCAAGAGGAAUACUUUGGGUUUACAAGACUUCCUGGGACUUUCAUUCUUCAUCUUCAUCGUGUGGAUUCAAUUUGGGAACAUCCGAAUCUAAUGUAUGUUGUUCGUUAGUACUUUCUGAAUCCCUUAAAUUUUAAAAAUGCAAUUUUUCCACCGUGUAUAGGAUUUAGAAAAGCUUAAGAUAGUUUUACAUGUUUCUAACCUAAUCCGGACUUGGGAAAUGUAGAAAUCUUGGAUUUUCCCUUCAUUAUGUGGUGAAAGGGCACAAGAAUAAGGUUUUAAAUUUAAAAAGAGUCAUGUAUGGAUUAAUUAAAAAAAAAAAACAGCAAGAGCAUAGGAAUAGUAAAACUAACAAAUAUUUUUAAGAUAAUCAUUUUAUUAAAUACCUUCAUAAACAUGCUCUCUAUAUAAAGGUGAAUGAAAAAGGUAAUAUUUAUUACUUGUUUGCUUGUAUGUGGAUUAUUUGAUCUUCAUUAAAAAUAAUUCAAUCAUAUUUGGUGAAUUCAAUAAGUAAUGGCUCGAGAGUUUGAGAUAACUGACAUUGAUCUCAUCUCAUACUAUCUUGGCAUAGAAAUGAAACAAACUAAAAUGGUACUUUUAUAUCUUAAGAAGGCUAUGCAAAAAAACAAAAAAACAAUCUCUAGAAGUUUGAUAUGAACAUGUGUAAUUCGAUGUACACAUAAUAGAAUAUGGAGUUAAAUUAUCUAAGACAUGAAGAAAAUAUGCAUCCAACAUAAUACAAAAGUUUAGUUAGAAGCUGACGUUGUUUGACUUAUACAAGGUCAGACAUUCCUUUUGGAGUUGGACUUGCUAGUCGUUAUAUAAAAACACCAAUAGUGACUCACAUGAAAAUUGUUAAAUGAAUUCUUUACUACAUUGAAGGUAUACUUGAUUAUAGUUUAUUUUAUAACUCCUAACCAUUUUAAGCUUAUUAGAUAUAGUGAUAGUGAUUGGGGCAGAGACUUGGAUGAUUGAAAGAAAACCAGUGACUUUGUGUUUUUAUGGGAGGUUCCACAUUCACUUGCACCUCAAAGAGGCUAUUUAUUGUGAUACUUUUAACUUGUGAAAAGGAAUUUCUUUCAACAAUAUCAUGUGCAUGUCAUGCAAUUUGGCUAAAAAAUUUGUUGAAGGAACUGAAUUUUCCACAAAAUAAACCAAAAAAGAUAUAUGUGGACAACAAAUCAACGAUUACAUCAUCAGAACAUCCCAUUUUCCAUGACGAAGCAAAUACAUCGAGAUAAUAUAUCAUUUUAUUAUAUAGUGCAUUAUGAAGAAAGAAGUGUAAUUAAAAUUGAUCAAAUUUCAAGAUCAAAUUUACAGACAUUUUUACUAAAUCUCUCAAAUUUAAAGAUUUUAAAAGGUUAAAAAUGCUACUUGGAGUUACAAAUCAAGUUUAAGAGGGCAUGUUGGAAAGUUAAACUUGAUUUAGAAAUUUUUAAAAAAUUACAAUUCAAUUUAGUUUCCAAAAGUCAAAGGAAAUAUUUUAUUUUGAGUGGUUACUGUAGUUUGUAUAUUUAAAUACUUUGUAAUUGUUUAUAUUCAUUUUUCAACCCCAUUACUCCAAUAGAUGGCAUACAUAAAGCUAUGUCUUUGGAUUAAUAUUAGAGCUGCCUCUAAUUCUAAUGUGUUCAACUUCAUUAGACAAGGUUAUGUCGAUCAUCAUAUCCACAUAGUUACCUACAACAUUUUAUUGCAGUGCAUGCACAUGUCUUCAAUGGCUGUAUGCAUAAUACUAGUUUUUGCAAUAUGGGGUUGAAACAUGACUAGUUGUUAUAUACAAAGAAAUAAAUAAUCUAUACUUUUAAUAAUUUUAAUAUAGAUUUAUUUACUAUAUAAAUAUACUGGUAUUUAUGUAUAGCAUUUUCCGCAAAUAGUAGCCUCAAUUCUUGCCCAGAUUCACAUUCCAUUGUCAGCAGAGAAAAGGGACAAUUCCAUCUGAAUUGGGAAUAGAUCAUCAGAAAGGAAGAAACAGAAACAAUUCUAUCAUUAAUCAAUCAAACUGGUAAUACAUAGUACUUCUGGAUCGUAUAUAUAUAAUCCAACACUUGAAACCACCGACUCCAAAUCAACCUCCUUCAUACAUACUAAGCCUUAGAUACAAUGCCUGUUGAGCUUGUUGAGCUUCUUCUCAGUUUCAAGGGCCUGGUGGGUGGUAGGGGCUGUGUGGUGGACUGUAUGGACUUUUAUAUAUUUUGGGGCUGGGUGGUGGAUAGUGUGGGCUUUUAUAUAUUUUGGGGCUGGGUGGUGGACUGUAUGGGCUUUUAUAUAUUUUGGGGCUGGGUGGUGGAUUGUGUGGCCUUUUAUAUAUUUUGGGGCUGGGAGGUGGAAUGCGUGGGCUUUUAUAUAUUUUGGGGCUGGGUGGUGGACUGUGUGGGCUUUUAUAUAUUUUGGGGCUGGGUGGUGGAUUGUGUGGGCUUUUAUAUAUUUUGGGGCUGGGAGGUGCAAUGUGUGGGCUUUUAUAUAUUUUGGGGCUGGGAGGUGGAAUGUGUGGGCUUUUAUAUAUUUUGGGGCUGGGUGGACUUUUAUGCAUUCUUUUACAGUCCCUUGAUCCGGGAUUGCACAUGCUUGUAGAUGGUGGAUCAGGUAAAUUCCCUGCUAUAAAGCCCACCUUAUCGCUACUCAUUUCUUCUGCAACAUCCAUGCCAAAUAUUAUCAUAAAUCACAAAGAGGCAAAAACAGCAGCCCAUGCAUGACAGUAUAUUAAAUGGGAAAAUUGUGUACUAGCCUCCAAUCAUAUCCAUUUGAAGUUUCAAGAACAGAAACUUAGUAGGACAUUUGAUCUUAUUCAACUAUUCAAAUCCACGUAAGUAAGCAUGCGCAUGUAUAGUUAAUUACUUGCAUGAAUAUUAAAUGCAUGUAGGGAAAGAAAUUACCA
Molecule: long non-coding RNA, 5406 nt
Filed under: Vitis vinifera (wine grape)
Lineage: Eukaryota; Viridiplantae; Streptophyta; Magnoliopsida; Vitales; Vitaceae
Description: long non-coding RNA (VVIN_LNC004765)
Source: RNAcentral